Molecule: long non-coding RNA, 280 nt
Filed under: Ananas comosus (pineapple)
Lineage: Eukaryota; Viridiplantae; Streptophyta; Magnoliopsida; Poales; Bromeliaceae
Description: long non-coding RNA (ACOM_LNC035882)
Source: RNAcentral
CUUGUUCAGCGCUUGCACUUUCCGCCGCUCGAACUCGAGCUACGCCCACAAUUCCCGGAUCUAGGCUUUCGCCAUCUCCAGCUCGGCGCCGACCCCGUAUAUCGCCCACGAGGUGUUCGACGUAAUGCCGCAGAGCAAUGGGGACGAAAUUAAAGGAAACUAGUGAAAGAAAAAUGGAGAAGGGGAAGGGAAAGAGACGAAGUGGAAGGAGCAGGGAAAUGAGGUCCUAUUUUGGAAAGAUAUGGAGAAGAAGACGAGCAUCGUCAGGAAGCAGUAUGAG